RNAcentral lists this transfer RNA (87 nucleotides) under hydrothermal vent metagenome. RNAcentral's name for it is "tRNA-Leu-TAA". It matches the Rfam family "tRNA". Rfam says of the family: Transfer RNA (tRNA) molecules are approximately 80 nucleotides in length. Their secondary structure includes four short double-helical elements and three loops (D, anti-codon, and T loops). The record is from RNAcentral.
GCCGGGAUGGUGGAAUUGGUAGACACGCAAGACUUAAAAUCUUGUGACUUUCGGGUCGUGUGGGUUCAAGUCCCACUCCUGGUACAA